CCGGGUAAGACCGGUGCCAGCCGCCGCGGUAACACCGGCGGCCCGAGUGGUAGCCGCUAUUAUUGGGUCUAAAGGGUCCGUAGCCGGUUCGAUAAGUCCUCUGGGAAAUCUGGUUGCUUAACAAUCAGACUGCCAAGGGAUACUGUCGAACUUGAGACCGGGAGAGGUAAGAGGUACUUCAGGGGUAGGAGUGAAAUCUUGUAAUCCCUGGGGGACCAUCUGUGGCGAAGGCGUCUUACCAGAACGGGUCUGACGGUGAGGGACGAAAGCUGGGGGCGCAAACCGGAUUAGAUACCCGGGUAGUCCCAGCCGUAAACGAUGCUCGCUAUGUGUCAGGUACGGUGUGACCGUAUCUAGUGCCGUAGGGAAGCCGUGAAGCGAGCCACCUGGGAAGUACGGCCGCAAGGCUGAAACUUAAAGGAAUUGGCGGGGGAGCACUACAACGGGUGGAGCCUGCGGUUUAAUUGGAUUCAACGCCGGAAAUCUUACCGGGGGAGACAGCAGCAUGAAGGUCAGGCUGAAGACCUUACCAGAUCCGCUGAGAGGAAGUGCAUGGCCGUCGUCAGUUCGUACUGUGAAGCAUCUUGUUAAGUCAGGCGACGAGCGAGACCCGUGCCCACAGUUGCCAGCAUACCCUUCGGGGUGAUGGGUACUUUGUGGGGACCGCCGCUGCUAAAGCGGAGGAAGGGGCGGGUUACGGUAGGUCAGUAUGCCCCGAAACUCCCGGGCUACACGCGGGCCACAAUGGUUGGGACAAUGGGAAUCAACACCGAAAGGUGAAGGCAAUCUCCUAAACCCAAUCGAAGUCCGGAUUGAGGGCUGCAACUCGCCCUCAUGAAGCUGGAAUCCGUAGUAAUCGCGUUUCAACACAGCGCGGUGAAUACGUCCCUGCUCCUUGCACACACCGCCCGUCAAAC
RNAcentral lists this ribosomal RNA (917 nucleotides) under uncultured archaeon. RNAcentral describes it as "bacterial SSU rRNA". It matches the Rfam family "Archaeal small subunit ribosomal RNA", at positions 442 to 1358 of the family's 1478-position model. The record is from RNAcentral.